Molecule: ribosomal RNA, 468 nt
Filed under: uncultured bacterium
Lineage: Bacteria
Description: partial 16S ribosomal RNA
Rfam family: Bacterial small subunit ribosomal RNA
Source: RNAcentral
GACGAACGCUGGCGGCGUGCUUAACACAUGCAAGUCGAACGGAAAGGCCCUGCUUUUGUGGGGUGCUCGAGUGGCGAACGGGUGAGUAACACGUGAGUAACCUGCCCUUGACUUUGGGAUAACUUCAGGAAACUGGGGCUAAUACCGGAUAGGAGCUCCUGCUGCAUGGUGGGGGUUGGAAAGUUUCGGCGGUUGGGGAUGGACUCGCGGCUUAUCAGCUUGUUGGUGGGGUAGUGGCUUACCAAGGCUUUGACGGGUAGCCGGCCUGAGAGGGUGACCGGCCACAUUGCGACUGAGAUACGGCCCAGACUCCUACGGGAGGCAGCAGUGGGGAAUAUUGCACAAUGGGCGGAAGCCUGAUGCAGCAACGCCGCGUGCGGGAUGACGGCCUUCGGGCUGUAAACCGCUUUCGCCUGUGACGAAGCGUGAGUGACGGUAAUGGGUAAAGAAGCACCGGCUAACUACGUG